AACGAACGCUGGCGGCAUGCCUAACACAUGCAAGUCGAACGAGACCUUCGGGUCUAGUUGCGCACGGGUGCGUAACGCGUGGGAACCUGCCCUUAGGUUCGGAAUAACUCCCCGACAGGGGUGCUAAUACCGGAUAAUUUCUUCUGACCAAAGAUUUAUCGACUUUGGAUGGGCCCGCGUUGGAUUAGCUAGUUGGUAGGGUAAAAGCCUACCAAGGCGACGAUCCAUAGCUGGUCUGAGAGGAUGAUCAGCCACACUGGGACUGAGACACGGCCCAGACUCCUACGGGAGGGAGCAGUGGGGAAUAUUGGAAAACGGGCGAAAGGCUGAUCCAGCAAUGCCGGGUGAGUGAUGAAGGCCUUAGGGUUGUAAAGCUCUUUUACCCGGGAUGAUAAUGACAGUACCGGGAGAAUAAGCACCGGCUAACUCCGUG
This 433-nucleotide ribosomal RNA is filed under the name uncultured bacterium. Its description in RNAcentral is "partial 16S ribosomal RNA". It matches the Rfam family "Bacterial small subunit ribosomal RNA", at positions 29 to 507 of the family's 1533-position model. The record is from RNAcentral.